This 644-nucleotide ribosomal RNA is filed under the name Chrysomyxa diebuensis. Its description in RNAcentral is "partial large subunit ribosomal RNA". It matches the Rfam family "Eukaryotic large subunit ribosomal RNA", at positions 37 to 658 of the family's 3401-position model. Lineage: Eukaryota; Fungi; Basidiomycota; Pucciniomycetes; Pucciniales; Coleosporiaceae. The record is from RNAcentral.
UGCAUAUCCAAAAGCGGAGGAAAAGAAACUAACAGAGGAUCACCUUGUAACGGCGAGUGAAGAGGGAAAAGCCCAAAUUUGUAAUCUGGCUCUUUUAUAAGGGUCCGAGUUGUAAUUUUGAGAACUGUUUUCCGUGCUGGACCAUGUACAAGUCUGUUGAAAAACAGCAUCAUUGAGGGUGAUAAUCCCGGACAUGAUAUGGACUACCAGGGCAAUGUGAUACAGUCUCUAAGAGUCGAGUUGUUUGGGAAUGCAGCUCAAAGUGGGUGGUAAAUUCCAUCUAAGGCUAAAUAUAGGUGAGAGACCGAUAGCAAACAAGUACCGUGAGGGAAAGAUGAAAAGAACUUUGGAAAGAGAGUUAACAGUACGUGAAAUUGUUAAAAGGGAAACAUUUGAAGUUAGACUUGUUAUUGUUGGUUCAGCUCUUUUUAUAAGGGUGUAUUCCAAUGGUUAACAGACCAGCAUCAAUUUUUGGGUGUUAGAUAAGGGUCUUGAGAAUGUAGCAACCUCGGUUGUGUUAUAGAUCUUGACUUGAUAUAAUGCUUAGGAUUGAGGAACGCAGUGAGCUUCUUUUGAAGUGGAUCCUCUUGGGGAUCUUCUCACUACGGAUGUGGGUGUAAUASMUUUAAAUGACCCGUCUUGAA